UGGGGAAUAUUGGACAAUGGGCGCAAGCCUGAUCCAGCCAUGCCGCGUGAGUGAUGAAGGCCUUAGGGUUGUAAAGCUCUUUUAGCGGGGAAGAUAAUGACGGUACCCGCAGAAAAAGCCCCGGCUAACUUCGUGCCAGCAGCCGCGGUAAUACGAAGGGGGCUAGCGUUGCUCGGAAUUACUGGGCGUAAAGCGCACGUAGGCGGACUCUUAAGUCGGUGGUGAAAUCCUGGAGCUCAACUCCAGAACUGCCUUCGAUACUGGGAGUCUUGAGUUCGGGAGAGGUGAGUGGAACUGCGGGUGUAGAGGUGAAAUUCGUAGAUAUUCGCAAGAACACCAGUGGCGAAGGCGGCUCACUGGCCCGAUACUGACGCUGAGGUGCGAAAGCGUGGGGA
RNAcentral lists this ribosomal RNA (395 nucleotides) under uncultured bacterium. Its description in RNAcentral is "bacterial SSU rRNA". It matches the Rfam family "Bacterial small subunit ribosomal RNA", at positions 355 to 767 of the family's 1533-position model. The record is from RNAcentral.